RNAcentral lists this ribosomal RNA (203 nucleotides) under uncultured bacterium. RNAcentral's name for it is "partial 16S ribosomal RNA". It matches the Rfam family "Bacterial small subunit ribosomal RNA", at positions 30 to 224 of the family's 1533-position model. The record is from RNAcentral.
AUUGAACGCUGGCGGCAUGCCUAACACAUGCAAGUCGAACGGCAGCGCGGGGAGCUUGCUCCCUGGCGGCGAGUGGCGGACGGGUGAGUAAUACUUAGGAAUCUGCCCAGUAGUGGGGACGAACCCGGGAAACCCGGGCGUAAUACGCGUAAUCUCUUCGGAGGAAAGAAGGGCCGUCUUCUUGUAAAGACUCUCGCUAUUGG